UGACCUCGGAUCAGGUAGGAUCCCGCUGACUUAAGCAUAUCAAUAAGCGAAGAA
RNAcentral lists this ribosomal RNA (54 nucleotides) under uncultured Cenococcum. RNAcentral's name for it is "partial 28S ribosomal RNA". The record is from RNAcentral. Lineage: Eukaryota; Fungi; Ascomycota; Dothideomycetes; Gloniales; Gloniaceae.